UACGUAGGGUGCGAGCGUUGUCCGGAAUUAUUGGGCGUAAAGAGCUCGUAGGCGGUUUGUCGCGUCUGCCGUGAAAGUCCGGGGGCUCAACUCCGGAUCUGCGGUGGGUACGGGCAGACUAGAGUGCGGUAGGGGAGAUUGGAAUUCCUGGUGUAGCGGUGGAAUGCGCAGAUAUCAGGAGGAACACCGAUGGCGAAGGCAGAUCUCUGGGCCGUAACUGACGCUGAGGAGCGAAAGCGUGGGGAGCGAACAGG
RNAcentral lists this ribosomal RNA (254 nucleotides) under uncultured bacterium. RNAcentral's name for it is "partial 16S ribosomal RNA". It matches the Rfam family "Bacterial small subunit ribosomal RNA", at positions 524 to 776 of the family's 1533-position model. The record is from RNAcentral.